RNAcentral lists this long non-coding RNA (692 nucleotides) under Ictidomys tridecemlineatus (thirteen-lined ground squirrel). RNAcentral describes it as "lncRNA (ENSSTOG00000034324.1)". Lineage: Eukaryota; Metazoa; Chordata; Mammalia; Rodentia; Sciuridae. The record is from RNAcentral.
UGGACAGGGCUUAAUGACUUCUGCGGCUUUAGCUGGGUUAGCAGCAAAGGAAGGGAUGAGAAUAAAACGCCCCCAUAAGCCUAGGAAAGGACCUGGUUAGCCAGGGAAACCAGGAGCCACCAGGGCUGGUUUUAAAUUCAACCCCAUCAAUAAACAACUCGCCUCAGUAAACAUGCUUCAGCAGCUAGAAUAUCACAACGGCCCUGUGUCUGGAGCAGCUGAUUAGGAACCAAUCCAUUCCAAUAAGCACCCAGUGAGUGCCAGCUAAGCAUCAGUGACACCAGUGACCUCGCUUCUACAGACGACAUCCGUGCACUCAUGCUUUUUGGCAUCUGCCAGUCCCUGAAGUUGCUUCCUAAGACUCGACACAAGAUUUGUCAUCUGCUCUGUGCAUGCCCGAGCCCAGGGCAGCUCCCUGGCAAGACAGCUUUCGGGGAGCAGACAGCAGCAUCCUAAGCAGAAUAAGAGAUGAUGGCUCGGCUUCUCAGCGUCUCCGGCUCUGCCUCCAACAACUUGAUGAGAAGGAAAAGGGCCCUUCCCAAAGCCCGCUCCACAGGGAUCCAGCAUGCUGGGCCUCUAACCAGGCUGCCAUCCACCUGAUCUGUGCAUUUGUGCCCUGGAGCCCAAACAUACCUAUCAUGAAUAUGCAUUUAGGAAAGUCUCGAUUUCAAGGCCCCCAACCUAAGCUCUGA